GCUGGGCGUGGUGGUGCGCGCCUGUAGUCCCAGCUACUUAGGAAGCUGAGGCAGGAGAAUUGCUUGAACCAGGGAGGCAGAGGUUGCAGUGAGCCGAGAUUGUGCCACUGCAUUCCAGCCUGGUGACAGAGUGAGACUCUGCCUCCA
RNAcentral lists this non-coding RNA (147 nucleotides) under Gorilla gorilla gorilla (western lowland gorilla). The record is from Rfam by way of RNAcentral. Lineage: Eukaryota; Metazoa; Chordata; Mammalia; Primates; Hominidae.